UUAGAGAAGCUGAAACACCAAUGAUUGAAGGAUUUAGAUGAGAAUCUGACAAACGCCACAACAAAUAGUUGAUAAGUUAAUCGAGAUUCCUGGUGCAAUUGAUGAAAGCAAAUCCUCACUCUCACUCAAAGCAAUACACGCCAAAGGCAUGAAAAUAAUUCUGAUAAUUUGAUUUCAAAGCUGUCUCUUACAAUUGUUUCUUAUCCUUAUAUAGUAAGGAGAAAAAACAAUUAAAACCCUAGGACACUCUUCUUGGGCCUGACUUAAACACAUAAGGCCCAAGCCCAAUCACAUACUAAAAUAACACAUAAGUAUUAAAACAUAAGCCCAAAACAUGGCCCAACACUCUAAAACUUAAAAGAUAAAAUAUGGCCAGAAUACAAGCCCAAACAAAACUAAAAUAAAACAAGUGUUUAAAUAAUAAAACUAGCAAGCCCAUCAUAACAAAGUUGAAUCUUCACAAAAGCCAUUCUUGAUCUUCACUUUAGGCUUUCCUUUAUGUAGUUUUAGCCCAUAGGUUUGAUUAGGCUCCCUCAGCCUAUGAUUGCAAAUGUUGCACCAAAUCUGUCCCAUAUGAGUUAAAGCACGCCCUAAAUAUAUAUGGAUUAUAUGAAUAUGAUUUUGAACUACUCUUGGAUCCAUUGGAAUGAUAUAAGUUUGCUCCACACCAUUGUUAGAAAUU
RNAcentral lists this long non-coding RNA (682 nucleotides) under Manihot esculenta (cassava). RNAcentral's name for it is "long non-coding RNA (MESC_LNC007307)". Lineage: Eukaryota; Viridiplantae; Streptophyta; Magnoliopsida; Malpighiales; Euphorbiaceae. The record is from RNAcentral.